UACGUAGGGGGCAAGCGUUGUCCGGAAUCAUUGGGCGUAAAGCGCGUGUAGGCGGCUGGCUAAGUCCGCUCUGAAAGCCCGGGGCUCAACCCCGGGAGGCGGGUGGAUACUGGUCAGCUCGAAUCCGGAAGAGGAGUGUGGAAUUCCUGGUGUAGCGGUGAAAUGCGCAGAUAUCAGGAGGAACACCAAUGGCGAAGGCAGCACUCUGGGACGGUACUGACGCUGAGACGCGAAAGCGUGGGGAGCAAACAGG
This 253-nucleotide ribosomal RNA is filed under the name uncultured bacterium. Its description in RNAcentral is "partial 16S ribosomal RNA". It matches the Rfam family "Bacterial small subunit ribosomal RNA", at positions 524 to 776 of the family's 1533-position model. The record is from RNAcentral.